This is a long non-coding RNA of Rhododendron vialii, 2769 nucleotides long. RefSeq lists it as uncharacterized. The record is from RefSeq and is a predicted model, not a curated record. The transcript has 3 exons. NCBI's taxonomy places the organism in Eukaryota, Viridiplantae, Streptophyta, Magnoliopsida, Ericales, Ericaceae.
AGAGAGAAGAGUUGUGGGGCGAUUUUCCGGACCCCUUGCGUUUCUGCUUCCCGUCCAGGGGUAACUGUUCAGGCUAGGGGUUUUCCUUCCCGUUACAAGGCGCUUGGAUUCUUUUUUGGGGUGUGCUCAAGGCAUUUUUUUUCUCGAUAGGAAAAAAAAGGGCUAGGGUUUCAUGUACAUUCUCUCUCUCGAUGAAUUAUAGGUUUGCGAAAGCUUGACGAAGAUCUCGAUUCGCAUUGGUUUCACGAAAGAGGUUAAGUGUUUUUACCGUUCUGUCUUCCGAUGUUUGUAUUUAUCAAUUUUGUUUUCCCGUUUUGGAGAUUUGCCCACUCUGAGCCAUUUGCAUUGCUUCCCUUGUUGGCUGUGGACGAUGCUGUUUCCUAAACUGCCAUGUUCCCGUUUUUCUGGUUGUGGUUUGGGUGUUUGGGGUUUUUGGGUUCCUGUGCGAAAGAUCUACGUGUUCUCAUCGUUUUGUCUUGCGAUGUGUUAUUCUGCAACUCUUUUGGGGGAAAUUGUUAGAUAUUGAAGUUUCCGCUGUUUCCAUUUUGAAAAAAAAAUUGGAGUAAUGCAUCUAUUUAUGUUUAGAUUAUUUGUCGCUGUUAAUAUGUGCUUUUAUGAUGGUUUCACUCAUGUUUGGUACAUUCUUCGACUAGGAUUUUGCGGUUUUCGUGUUCUGGUGCAGAUGCGGGUUUCGAAAAGUGUUUAUAGCUUUAUGAUCUUUUACAGUUGUUAAUAUGUCAUUGGUUCAGUUAAAUAGUGUUCUUGCCUGCCGUUUUUGGCGUGUGGUUUUUUUAUGCGUGACUUAAACCCUUGCUAUUGAUUCACUAAAUUUAUAUUUUGAUUGUUGUUUCAUGGGAAUGGUAGUACAAGUCCCUUUUGUGCAUUGGAUCCAUCUGGAACGUCAAAGCCAUUUGGCCCCGAAUGGAGUUUUUUUACUGUGGAAACUGUUGGUAGAACGAGAACAAUUGCUGCUGUGUUGACUCAUAGAGCCACUGGACGCCUCUACUACAGACCAUAUUUUUACUACAUGGUGAUGUAAGUAUCCAUUUUUUUAAAUGCGUACAGUCCCAGAAUCUAACAUUGUGAUUUCUGCAUAUGUAACAAAAUCAGGCCAUUAGAGGAACUUAAACUGAAGGCAAUAGAUUUUUACUCUAGGGAGCACCAAAAAUUUGUCAAGUUAGUUGGUUUAUGUUAUAAAACUAAUGCUGUUACAAGUAGGCAUCAACACACAAUAGGCAUUGUUUUUCAUACCUUUGAAAAUUGUUGACGGUGGUGUUUCUUUUGUGCAUGUGGGCCUUCGAUAUUGAGUCAAACGCCUGUAUUUCCAAUGUUGAGAGUUUUGUUGUGUUGGACAGUAUUGUACUGUCCCUCUUGUGCUGACCACAUGUUGUACCUAUUUUAAGGAAAUCAAACCAAAGCAUAUCCAAAUGCAUGUGUAGAUCAUUAGUUCAGAUUAAUUUAUGAUGCAGAAAGUGUGUGACCAAUCAAAGUGUCACGAGCCCUCAAUUCAUGUGCAUUAGUUUUAGAUUAAUUUUGCAGAGUAGUUCACUGAGGAGCAGAUGUCCUCAUCCAAGUAUGAGUUUCCUUCUAAUCUGAGAUUCUUAUAUUCUUCAAAAUGUUAGAUCUUUUGGCACUAAUGCGAUAUGGAAGCCAAAGAGUGGUUCAGAUAUUAACAGGAUUCAUGCUUUUCUUUGUUGUGUUUAGUGCGUUAUAAUUGCAUGUUUUCGUCUGGCAUUGCUUGCAAACCAGUAAAAAAAAUUUGGGGUUGUUCUACCAUCUAUUCCAUUGCCGAUCUUUAGAGCUCUGUGCUGCAUCUUCUUUGCUUACAUGAGUAUGAAUUCUCUAUCUUGGUAACUGUUGGAGAUAAAUCUUUAUGUUUACCCAAAACUCGGUGCUUAUUUUGGAAAAGAAAUUUCUUGCGAAGGGAGGACAAUUACAAAUGCUUGUUUUAACUGAUAUAGGAUAGUCAUUUGCUUUUCCAAUUCAUCUCUGAAUGCCUAUUUUACAAAGUUCAUAGUAGGUUAUUCAAUCUUCAUGGGCCUUUCAGUCACACAAUACUCCUAUGGCUACAUAGUAACUUCCGGUCGUGGUCCUAUUCACACUCACGCACAUUGGGUAUGUUGUGCAUACAAUUUAUCCUUUCUAACUCAAAUGAAUUUUAGUAGUCGCAAAUAUUUUCGUGCUUGAAGAAGCUAAAUGAAAUUUCUAACCAUUACAUGCAGUUUAACAAAAUUGUGGAAAUCAUUUUCACAUCCCCGGCCCCUAUAGCCAGCUAUAAUCGGGGUGUUUUUGGAUUGCGCUAUUCGACCGAGUGAUAUUGAUAAUUGAAUUUUUCUUGACAAUAGGAGGCAUUUUUGGGAGAAGUUCAGGGCUUUUGAUCUUUUGAUAAGGGCCCCAUGAGUAGAGAAUUGUAUUCCCUACCUUCAGGCUUCCUCAGGUCUAUCUCCUUCUCUCUAAAUCAUCUUAGCAAAUGGGCUGAAAAGAUUGGAUGGAUUUGCCCACUUGACACCUAAUUAGAACUCAUUCUUCUACAAUCCUGCUUACAAAUUGAUGAACAGCAUCGGCUCUUCCUUGAGGGCCGUUUGUACAGAAAUGAGCACCAUAUUAUAUUAUAUAUCUAGAAAGACCAUAUAACUGAUAUUCAAUUGAAUCCUUUCUGCCCAAAUGAAAUACAUAUCAGAUUUUAGGCAUAUACUAAUCAUGUGGAGUUUGUACUAUUUUAUGUAUACAGUAGGUAUAUGUCAAAUGUUCUUUCCAUUAAUCUUUUUC